RNAcentral lists this transfer RNA (73 nucleotides) under Arabidopsis thaliana (thale cress). RNAcentral describes it as "tRNA-Tyr (GTA) (tRNA-Tyr-GTA-8-1, tRNA-Tyr-GTA-8-2)". It matches the Rfam family "tRNA". Rfam says of the family: Transfer RNA (tRNA) molecules are approximately 80 nucleotides in length. Their secondary structure includes four short double-helical elements and three loops (D, anti-codon, and T loops). The record is from RNAcentral. Lineage: Eukaryota; Viridiplantae; Streptophyta; Magnoliopsida; Brassicales; Brassicaceae.
CCGACUUUAGCUCAGUUGGUAGAGCGGAGGACAGUAGAUCCUUAGGUCACUGGUUCGAAUCCGGUAGGUCGGA